RNAcentral lists this long non-coding RNA (444 nucleotides) under Pongo abelii (Sumatran orangutan). RNAcentral's name for it is "lincRNA". Lineage: Eukaryota; Metazoa; Chordata; Mammalia; Primates; Hominidae. The record is from RNAcentral.
AUGAAGGAAGCGCUCCAUCAGAUAGUCGUCCGCUGCAGUGAGCUGGUUUCCAGCACGAGCCUGCCUAGACUCAGUGUCUCCCGCCUCCAGGGACCCCCAGACUCUCAGCCCCUAGGCACCCUGGGCUAGGGUGGAUGGAAGCUUCUAGGCAUUGUGGGGUCUCUGGCAUCAGAGACACUCCGGGGUCUGGGGACCGAGUUUGGGCCCUGUACCCACCCACUACCAUUUGACAUGGUGAGAGAGAGAGAUGACAAACUCAGGCAGGGAUGGCUUCUCCAGUGCCCACAAUGUGCCAGGACUCUGCUCUGCCACUGCAGGCCUUUCCUCACCCCUCCCUCCCAGACAUCAAGCUCCGGUUUCCAGCUGUGCUCCGUGAAGCCCUCGGGCUCUCUGGUGACAGCCACAGAGCCUCUGAGCAACUUCGCUUUCGGCUAUUUUCCAUGA